CCUACGGGGGGCAGCAGUCGAGAAUCAUUCACAAUGGGGGAAACCCUGAUGGUGCGACGCCGCGUGGGGGAAUGAAGGUCUUCGGAUUGUAAACCCCUGUCAUGUGGGAGCAAAUUAAAAAGAAAGUACCACAAGAGGAAGAGACGGCUAACUCGGUGCCAGCAGCCGCGGUAAUACAGAGGUCUCAAGCGUUGUUCGGAAUCACUGGGCGUAAGGCGUGCGUAGGCUGUUUCGUAAGUCGGGUGUGAAAGGCGCGGGCUCAACCCGCGGACGGCACAUGAUACUGCGAGACUAGAGUAAUGGAGGGGGAACCGGAAUUCUCGGUGUAGCAGUGAAAUGCGUAGAUAUCGAGAGGAACACUCGUGGCGAAGGCGGGUUCCUGGACAUUAACUGACGCUGAGGCACGAAGGCCAGGGGAGCGAAAGGGAUUAGAUACCCCUGUAGUC
This 446-nucleotide ribosomal RNA is filed under the name uncultured bacterium. RNAcentral's name for it is "partial 16S ribosomal RNA". It matches the Rfam family "Bacterial small subunit ribosomal RNA", at positions 338 to 795 of the family's 1533-position model. The record is from RNAcentral.